AAAGAGCUACGAAUAUGGGACUUAAUUUGUUAGAGCUCAGAAACUACUUAAGACUUGCUUAUGGAUAGGUGUUGGAUAGGUGACAAUCUGUGUAACAGACGUCAUAGGCUGAUUAUUUACAAUAUAGACUUCACAGAGCAGAAUGCCACACCUCUUAAUUGUGAUGUACUUCCAUGCUCCCUCAUCGGACGUUUAAUAAACCCCACUGAAGAGCAUGAUGAAGGAUGGUAAAAUAACCCCCCCAACGCAGACACUCUGGGGAGGAUUUAAUUGAGCAGUGUAUUGGCAAACAGCUAUACAUGAUUUAGUAUAACUUUCAAGUAAAUUAUUCGUAAUGCUAAUUUAAAAUAUCGACUGAAGGUUGCUUACAUCAUUUUACAAGGUUCAACUGAAAAUUCAUGAGCAAUCUAAAUUCUGUCAACAUCCAUCCCUUGCUUUUCUUUCAAAGUGACACCCAAACCCCCGGUUGAGGAAAAGCCAACAAAGCCAGCUCCAGAAGAGAGUGGCGCUCCUCCUCAAGAACCAACUGGACCGAAGGACAAGACACCCCCACCUCCAACCUCCAGCAACAAGGAGCCAGAACCAUCACCCCCAACUCCAGGCCCAGAAGACUGUACUCCAGGAUGGUCUGAUUGGUACGAUGAGCAAUAUCCUGAUGAAGAAAAUGGCGGAGAUGAGGAAUCUUACCAGAAGGUCAUAGCCUCAGGGAAAGUGGUUUGUUUGCCUGACUCACCAGUGCAAAACAUUGAAUGCAAAGCAGAGAGAUUCCCCAAUACCCCAUGGCAGGAAUUGGGCCAGACAAUCACUUGUGACAAGAAUAAAGGACUGAAAUGUGUAAAUGAGGAUCAAGGAGGACUGCCAUGUUACAACUACAAGGUCAGAUUCUGCUGCUCCAGAGCAGGUGGACCUCCUGCACCAAGUCCAUCUUCACGAAGCCCAGAACCAACUGCAUCGAAGGACAAGACACCCGCACCUACAACCUCCAGCAACAAGGGGCCAGAACCAUCACCCCCAGAAGGGCCAGUGACACCGAAACCCCCGGUUGAGGAAAAGCCAACAAAGCCAGCUCCA
Petromyzon marinus (sea lamprey) is the source of this 1071-nucleotide non-coding RNA. The record is from RefSeq and is a predicted model, not a curated record. NCBI's taxonomy places the organism in Eukaryota, Metazoa, Chordata, Hyperoartia, Petromyzontiformes, Petromyzontidae.